RNAcentral lists this long non-coding RNA (1005 nucleotides) under Olea europaea subsp. europaea. The record is from RNAcentral. Lineage: Eukaryota; Viridiplantae; Streptophyta; Magnoliopsida; Lamiales; Oleaceae.
CUAAUCAUGAAUUAUCCCAGAGUUUGUUACUUUCUUUAUUUCGAUCCCAGAAUUUGUAAUGUUCAUGAACUCUUUUCAUAUCACUUGUGCACUUUCACCAUGUUGCUCUUCAAUUCUUUUCAAACAAAGAUCCUAUCAUGACUAGGGACUACAAACACAACUCUCCUACAUAAAAUUAUUCCUUUUCCCAAGUUAAUCGAGAAAGCGAGUCAACAAAAUAAGUGCUCAUGAAAGAUUCCAAGGACGAUCUUCAUUACACAUUAAACUUUAUCUCACCAAAAAAUAGGAUACAGUGGAUGCUGCAGACAACUUUAAAUAAAAAAUUCAUUUAUCAAGCAAUUUGAAAUAAAGGUCAAACAUACCUGUGCUAAUACUCUGGUAAUCUUAUUUAUCUGUAAAGGUUAACCACAAAAUUGCCUGAACUUAAAAUUACAAUUCUUGAAGCAGCCUAAAUUGGCUGGUUAGGUAGAAUGGGGAAAUUUCUCUCAUUUACCUUACACAGAAGUCCUUGAGGUCAAAUCAAUGUCAAUGGCUAUCAAGAAAGGGACAAAAUAAUCACAAAAUGUAUUAUAGCGAAGAGAAGCUAAACUGCACACCGCUCUUCCCUUGGUCAUGCUCGUGUUGUUUCAGUAUGUAACAGUAGUUAACCUGAUUAUAAUGGGUCGAGCUGUCAGAGAUAUUAAACAAGUACUUCGACACGUAUAAAAGACAGAAUAAAUCCUUCCUGGGGACUACAACAGAUGGCUCCCAAGUGGGUACAAGUUGUACUUCUGGUUUCAAUCCAUAUUUCAAUUAAAAAAAAAAAAAUUGAAUUUAAAGUUUAGUAAAUUUUUUUGCUGCUUUAUUCCCCGUCCGAUCCGUGUUUUAUAUGAAUGUUGGCGAAUUUAUUAGCCAUUUGUCUGAAGUACUUAUUCGCUAUUUUAUGGUGCAAAAGACAUCAAAGUUGUCAGAUGAAUAUAAUUAACAAUCUUUAUUAUUUUGAUAGAAGUGCUUGUCUUGUGAAUG